Molecule: ribosomal RNA, 497 nt
Filed under: uncultured bacterium
Lineage: Bacteria
Description: partial 16S ribosomal RNA
Rfam family: Bacterial small subunit ribosomal RNA
Source: RNAcentral
GAUGAACGCUGGCGGCGUGCCUAAUACAUGCAAGUCGAGCGAACGGACGAGAAGCUUGCUUUUCUGAUGUUAGCGGCGGACGGGUGAGUAACACGUGGAUAACCUACCUAUAAGACUGGGAUAACUUCGGGAAACCGGAGCUAAUACCGGAUAAUAUUUUGAACCGCAUGGUUCAAAAGUGAAAGACGGUCUUGCUGUCACUUAUAGAUGGAUCCGCGCUGCAUUAGCUAGUUGGUAAGGUAACGGCUUACCAAGGCAACGAUGCAUAGCCGACCUGAGAGGGUGGUCGGCCACACUGGAACUGAGACACGGUCCAGACUCCUACGGGAGGCAGCAGUAGGGAAUCGUCCGCAAUGGGCGAAAGCCUGACGGAGCAACGCCGCGUGAGUGAUGGAGGUCUUCGGAUCGUAAAACUCUGUUAUUAGGGAAGAACAUAUGUGUAAGUAACUGUGCACAUCUUGACGGUACCUAAUCAGAAAGCCACGGCUAACUACGUG